UUGCUCACUUCGGCAGCACAUAUACUAAAAUUGAAAUGAUACAGAGAAGGUUAGCAAGGCCCCUGUGCCAGGAUGACACACAAAUUCGUGAAACAUUCCAUAUUUUU
This 107-nucleotide small nuclear RNA is filed under the name Theropithecus gelada (gelada). The record is from RNAcentral. Lineage: Eukaryota; Metazoa; Chordata; Mammalia; Primates; Cercopithecidae.